AGGUGUGCUGCGGGGAGAGGAUUAGCGCCACUGUGUACGGCCUUGUUUCUGUGGUGACCACACGAGCUGCUCUCCUUGGACACGCUGAGGUUCCGUGAGUAUUGCUCACCUCCUAAGACAGCCUUGCUGCCAGUUAUUUUUGCGUGGGUUCCCUGCUUCAUCUCUAAAAGAUGGAGAGAAAACCUCAUCAGGAAGAAAUGACUUGAAUUUCCACCAGCGAACAGGAGAUGGAGGGUGGCUUUGAGAUGGAACAUCUUGGCCAGCCGGAUUUUCAGAGCUCAUGGACAAGGCGAGGGCAGCGUGCUACCAGACAGAGGCUGGAAAAGCGCCCGG
Molecule: long non-coding RNA, 333 nt
Organism: Dama dama (fallow deer)
Lineage: Eukaryota; Metazoa; Chordata; Mammalia; Artiodactyla; Cervidae
Exons: 3
Source: RefSeq, a predicted model, not a curated record